Haemorhous mexicanus (house finch) is the source of this 3002-nucleotide long non-coding RNA. RefSeq lists it as uncharacterized. NCBI's taxonomy places the organism in Eukaryota, Metazoa, Chordata, Aves, Passeriformes, Fringillidae. The transcript has 3 exons. The record is from RefSeq and is a predicted model, not a curated record.
CCCUGGGGCUCAGCCGAUGAGGACAGGGCCAGAGCAGAAGUCUAGCAGGUCUCACUGUGUAUUUUGGCUUUUUAAAGUUCCACCUCUAAUCCAAAGGGAGGAAAGAAACAUUUGUGAAGUCAAGCAGACAAGAAAAGGAGAGCUGAAACAAUGCAGAUCUAAGUGACCUAGAAAGAAUGAUCUCCCGCACCAUUUUUUUCUACCAUUCCACAGAAUAGCAGUAGACGAAACUGAAAGGCAGAGAACUGGGUAUCUCAAGGACAGGGUGUAUAGAAUUGCAACUGAACACAACACCUUUAGACCAGCAGCUCAAAGAAAACAAUUCUCACAGCAACUAUGACACUGAAGACUAUUCAACCCUCUUCCUCAAGAGCCUUGGUUUUAGCUUUGUACAACUCUGGCAAAAAUGAGGUCAGAAACCUGGUUUAACACAGAAGACACUUCUCAGAGGCUAAAGGGGGAAGGGACUCAAAAGGCACUCGUCACCCUUCUCCACGGAGGACAUCCCCUUUGACCGCCAAAGCCCAGCCUGGCAGCGAUCGCUCUGGCCGAGCCAGCAGCCGAUGCUAAGCCCCUGAGCAGCAGCACGUCCCUCUGCCCCGCACCUCACGGACGACAACAAGGAAUUCUCCUACUUCUUCUUGUUUAACGGGGGAUUAUUUUUAACUUGGAUCCUUUCCCAGACCCAGCUCAGAGCAUGACUACACAACGCUUAUGUCAGCACAAGGAAGCCAUCUAAUGAGCACCCAUGAGGGGGGCAGGAUCGCUGCCAUCGCUAUCCUCACCACCUUAAUGAGCUUGUAAAACAACAGCCCAUAGACAGCAGGUUAAAAAGUCACAGAGCUUCAGUAAAUUGAGGAUGGCACAUACAGAACCAAAAAAAUAAAAACCAAAACUCAUACACACAGGUUGCCUAGCCACUGCCAUGUCAAGCUGCCAAAACACAGCAAAAGCACAGGGCCCUCCACUGAGGAAAAGCAACCCUGCAAUCAGCUCCACCAAAACCCCAAUGCAGAAGGGCUCCUGACACACACCCACGGAAAAUCUUGGUCAUUACUACUUCCUAAAUAGGACACGCAAAGAAAACCCACAGCAUGUAAAGCACUGGUAUCUCAAAAUGACCUUUCUCUUAUCUCUUUGGCUAGGCAUGCUCUCUCUGCCCUGCUCUGUCCCCAGAGAGACACCAAACAGCCCGGCCCCAACUCAAGGAGGAAGCAUAAAAGCAAAAGAGAAGGGAAGGUGAACAGAUCAAACAAUUCUCCUUCCUCAUGACCUGUGGGUGCAAACCCAUCACAACACAUUGUGUAACCUUAAACACAUGUUAAAAUGGAGACAGAAAUCCAUGAGUACUGCUUCUGGUGUUUAUGCUGACCAGUGCAUUAUUACUGCUCUGUUGGCAAUCAGUGAAUCUGUCAUGAAAAAAAAGGAUGUGUUGGGUUUGCUAUUGAUCCUUAUAAUUCCUGUCUGAGAAUAAUCAUACCAUCUUGAAAUAUAGCCCAAGAGAGCACUGUUAUUCCGGAACUGAGCUGCUUUUGGAAGAUGAGUAAAAAGCAGUUACAUGCUCUUAGAUAUCUUCUUGAGGUUGCAGACAAUUGUUCCUGGCUUUACAGACACAUUUUCUGAUCCUUUAAGAAUUCUCUUUCCCCUACAGCUGAAAGAGCCACACACAAAUAAAGAAAAAUCUGGCUAUCCCAAGAAAUCAUGUAACUGACUAUACACAGAGGGCUGUCAGGUAGGCACAAAAUAAACUAACCGAAAUAAUAUGAUCUUUUCUCCCUCUAAUAUCCUUCAUUUAUAGUCACUGUCAGUGUGACAACCAAGAACAGUAAGUGGAAUGAUUUCAUGCACGAUUUCAUAUCUCAAUAUUUCAUUAAUAUUGAGAUAUUCUAUAUCCACUUGUGCAGCAGACAGUUUCUAUCACUUAUGUUGUAUUAGGGCAACAGAGUAAGGCACCUCAAAUGAAGCCUGGAACAGUAACCAUUCCCUCUAACCAGAGCUAAAACCCAGACUAACAGACUGUGGCAAUUGCCAAAUCACCUCUUUCUCCUCACUGAAGUCUGGACAUCACCAGUGGAUGGGGAGGCAGAAGCACAAGCCUCUGAUGGCAUCCAAAACUGCCCUCAAAAAUGCAUAUGAAAACACGUAUUCCAAGCAUGGCUAGAACAAAAGUACUAAACAAAACAUAUGAUGCUAAUCCAAGUGUUACAACAAAUUGUCCAUUGUAGCUGGAAAACAGAGAAACACAGGCCUGAAAAGGGAUCAGAACAAUACUGACUUGAAAAUUGUUAAGGGUUCUUGUUAAGUGUACAUUCUAGCCUAUUCAUAAAGCAGGUUUUUUUUGAAGGUAAGAAAAAAUAUGAAAAAACAGGUUAACAAAUGAAAUGUAAAGAGUAAGGAAAAAGCAAAGAUAUAACCCAGAAGAAAGCUGAGCUAAGAAAUACACAAAUAUUUUGCGUGCAUAUGUGUGUGAAAUUUAACAUAAUUCCUAAUUCUAGGUAUCCUGGAAUAUACCUGUCUGUUUUCCAGACCUGAGUUUCAGAAGUUUACUACUUUUUCACAAAUGGAUUCAGAAGGACUGUGGUCUCUAACAGUGAAGUUCUGUCCUCCAUCGCACACAUGUUUCCACUGACUCCAACCAGCCUAAAGUUAACUAUAAAUACAACGGAAAGUCAAAUACAAAGGUAGCUUGUUGCCUAUUUUUUCCCUGUUUUAUGAUGUGCUAUUAGGCUAUGAAUAUAAAAUACUUUUUUUUUUUUUUAUUAACGGCUAGGACAAACAAAGCCUCUAAUAUUUUACAAACCUAAUUGAUGCAAAAUACUCGAUAUGUAUUCUAGGUCUCUGUUUUUCUGACUUCUGUUCAUUCCAUUAAUGCUUUCAACAGGUUAUUAAAAAGCACAGUCUUGCUAAUUUACUGUAAUGUUUAGGAUACCUACUCUAAAUUUAUGGAAGAAAUCAAUAAAUUGAUCAAUCAACAAAAAGAAACAGAAAAGUGACGAAACAUU